GUAUGGAACUGGAAGGAUCAGGCAUUCACAAGGGCUGGAUCGAGCACACCACGUCCCGUUUGGUCAGCAACUGUUUCCCUGCGUAGCUGAGGCACCCUUUUAAGAGUAACCACCGGGGGCUUGCGACAAUGCGCGGAGGGAUGAAAGCAUGCUCCGUUUUAAGCAUCAGACGUCAGCCAGACAUCUGAACAGAAAGAAUGUCCCUCCACUGGUGUUUGCAGGUCCUUGGAAGAGGGGAUUACUGACACAGUGACCAUUGCCUUAUUUAGAACAGCAGGCUUGCGGGGGGUGGGGGGUGGGGAGAACACUGCCAGCCUCGCGCUGGCCUCGCCUCUAACAACAGGAGGGAAGAGCCGUGAAAAUCCACAUAAUCCCAGGCUGCCACAGGGCUGUGAGUGGAACCAGCUCACUGGGGCCCAGUGGGGCCCUGCGGCCUUGCUGGCACUCUGGUGGCACGGCCAUCACAGCGAGUCAUUGGCAGGAGGCUGCAGCGCUGAGGCAGCAGCUGGAGAAGGUCGGCAGCCCUUGCCUCACCCGCCACACAUCGCUCGGGGGAGUGUCAGUCAAUUCUCCUUGCUCCAGUGACGGGGGGAUCAAGUCAUUCCUUUGCAGCUGUUGCCAGAUGUUGUUAGUGGAGAGCGCUGAGUGCUGUGGCAUCUCACCGACGUUUGGGGCAGCUGGGCCCUCGUGGCUCUGGCUUCAGUAGAUUGGACAGACUAGCAAAUGAAGGCCUCUAGUGGGCAUUUUGGUCAAUGGCUGUGGCUCACUAGAGGUGACAGAUGGCAGCUGGAGAACACCCUCACGUUCAUAUCUGCAUUUACACGUUUCCAUAACUUGUUGGCCCAGUUGUUGAACGGAAGAGGGCAAUGUCAGAUGGGCAGUAUGCAUCCUCAACCAAGGCAAAAUCCACAACUUAAACUUCACUUUCAGUCUGAUAAACUCAUGCCACAAGCUGAGAGGAGCGUACAUUUAUCAUCAUCAUUGGGAAGACUAUCAGGAAAAUUCUUUUGCCUUUUAUUCGUCUACAUUCCCAUUCAGAGUGAUUUUUUUCUACAUAAUUAUUAUAGUGUCCUUAUUGUGAUUUUAGCCUAGAUUUGGAUAGUACAAUAUUGUGUUAAGAAAUACUAGGUUUGAAGAAAAAUUUGUUCCCAUAAAAGAACUAAUUACAACAAAUAGUAGAAUGUUGUGAACGUAUAUAAAACAUCAAGCAAAUCUUCAGAUAGUAAAAAAUAAUAAAGAAAUUACAGAUAG
RNAcentral lists this long non-coding RNA (1251 nucleotides) under Numida meleagris (helmeted guineafowl). Its description in RNAcentral is "lncRNA (ENSNMEG00000009239.1)". Lineage: Eukaryota; Metazoa; Chordata; Aves; Galliformes; Numididae. The record is from RNAcentral.